UACGAAGGGUGCAAACGUUGCUCGGAAUCAUUGGGCGUAAAGCGCACGUAGGCGGCCUAUUAAGUCGGAUGUGAAAUCCCUCGGCUCAACCGAGGACGUGCAUACGAAACUGGUAGGCUCGAGUAUGGAAGAGGGUCGCGGAAUUCCCGGUGUAGAGGUGAAAUUCGUAGAUAUCGGGAGGAACACCAGUGGCGAAGGCGGCGACCUGGGCCAAUACUGACGCUGAGGUGCGAAAGCGUGGGGAGCAAACAGG
This 253-nucleotide ribosomal RNA is filed under the name uncultured bacterium. RNAcentral describes it as "partial 16S ribosomal RNA". It matches the Rfam family "Bacterial small subunit ribosomal RNA", at positions 524 to 776 of the family's 1533-position model. The record is from RNAcentral.